This 515-nucleotide long non-coding RNA is filed under the name Daucus carota (carrot). RNAcentral describes it as "long non-coding RNA (DCAR_LNC006311)". The record is from RNAcentral. Lineage: Eukaryota; Viridiplantae; Streptophyta; Magnoliopsida; Apiales; Apiaceae.
CCGGGUUCAAUCAUGAUCUAUCUCCUACUUGGAAAAAUUUUCCAAGGCAAAAUGCAAAAGCUACCCCGGUUCAAUUUUGAGAACCCGAGUACCCCGGUUCAAUCAUGAGCUAUCUUACUUGGAAAAAUUUUUCUAAGGCAAACAAACAAAAAGCUACCCCGGUCCAGUUAUGACAUAUCUCUUACUUGGAAAAAUUAUUUUCCAAGGCAAACAAACAAAAAGCUACCCGGGUUCAAUCAUGAUCUAUCUCUUACUUGGAAAAAUUUUCCAAGGCAAAAUGCAAAAGCUACCCCGGUUCAAUUUUGAGAACCCGAGUACCCCGGUUCAAUCAUGAGCUAUCUUACUUGGAAAAAUUUUUCUAAGGCAAACAAACAAAAAGCUACCCGGGUUCAAUCAUGAUCUAUCUCUUACUUGGAAAAAAUUUCCAAGGCAAAAAGCAAAAGCUACCCCGGUUCAAUUUUGAGAACCCGAGUACCCCGGUUCAAUCAUGAGCUAUCUUACUUGGAAAAAAUUUU